Long non-coding RNA from Etheostoma spectabile (orangethroat darter), 383 nucleotides. RefSeq lists it as uncharacterized. The record is from RefSeq and is a predicted model, not a curated record. The transcript has 2 exons. Lineage: Eukaryota; Metazoa; Chordata; Actinopteri; Perciformes; Percidae.
AAAUAAGAGGUGCCCAAAUUCUUUCAUAUGAAGGGCCAAAUUGUGUCUGGAUGGAAGGCCAUGGGCCAAAAAUAAAUGUUGAAUGUUGAAGAAUAACGUAAUUUGUGCCUUUCUCCAUAGACACAGCGUACAUACUGUAUGUAAUUUAAAUGGGAAUUUUACCUGCACUGUGCUUUACAUUGGCGUUAAACUCAGAUUACUAUUUAAAUGAACAAAAUGUACAUAAGUAAGAGCAUGUCAAAUCCAUGGCGGGCCAAAACAAAGAUAGCACGGGCCAAACUUGGCCCACGGGCCCCAAAUUGGGCGGCCUUGGUUUAAAUAAACCACGCAGAAGAUGCAAAGUUGCUAAAUGUAUUAUUCACAAUAAAAUGAUGGUGAUGAAA